GAUGAACGCUGGCGGCGUGCUUAACACAUGCAAGUCGAACGGAAAGGCUCCUGCUUGCAGGGGUACUCGAGUGGCGAACGGGUGAGUAACACGUGGGUGAUCUCCCCUGCACUUCGGGAUAAGCCUGGGAAACUGGGUCUAAUACCGGAUAGGACGAUGGUUUGGAUGCCAUUGUGGAAAGUUUUUUCGGUGUGGGAUGAGCUCGCGGCCUAUCAGCUUGUUGGUGGGGUAAUGGCCUACCAAGGCGUCGACGGGUAGCCGGCCUGAGAGGGUGUACGGCCACAUUGGGACUGAGAUACGGCCCAGACUCCUACGGGAGGCAGCAGUGGGGAAUAUUGCACAAUGGGCGCAAGCCUGAUGCAGCGACGCCGCGUGGGGGAUGACGGCCUUCGGGUUGUAAACUCCUUUCGCUAGGGACGAAGCGCAAGUGACGGUACCUGGAGAAGAAGCACCGGCUAACUACGUG
RNAcentral lists this ribosomal RNA (466 nucleotides) under uncultured bacterium. RNAcentral describes it as "partial 16S ribosomal RNA". It matches the Rfam family "Bacterial small subunit ribosomal RNA", at positions 28 to 507 of the family's 1533-position model. The record is from RNAcentral.